GGAGGGGAGGAGAGGGGGGAGGGGAGGAGAGGGACGGGAAGGAUGGGGAGGGGAAGGAUGGGGGAGGGGAAGGAGGGGGAGGGGGGAGGGGGAGAGGGAGGAAAGGGACAGGAAGGAUGGGGAGGGGAAGGAGGGGGACCGGACGGGAAGGAGGGGGGAGGGGGGAGUGGGAGGGGAGGUCCUCUCACCUGCAGUGACGCACUACAACCGGAAGGCGUUGCAGAAACUGCAAACUCUAAGUUCCUGGGGUAACGUGCUGGUUUGCUGGGGCGCGACAGCUCCUCGGCUGUUCGGCUGUUCCUUCCUUUCGCACCCCCGAACCUCAAAGCCGCGCAUCCGUGCGGAGCCAGGAGGGCCGCGCAAGGUCACGCAGGUCACGCAGGGGCCACCUCCUCCGCGGCCCUCCACGGUGCGGAACCCCGGAAGAAUCGGUGCAAUCGUCUUCGAUCCCAAAACCUCCACGGUCCUGGCAGGCGGCGCCGAAGGUCUUCCCGACGGAGGUCGCAAGUAGGUUCUGGAAGUCCUCGCGGCGGCCCUGGACCGCAAGCCUUCGGCGAGGCCCAGGCUGAGGAGAAGCGUUGGCGCCUGCGCACUGCAGCGCGGCGGCCCGCGGGCGCACACAUGGCGCCGCCCGGCCGCGUGGCCCCCGAGCGCGCGUGAGGGGACUUCCGGGGUCGCGCCCUCACACCAGGCCUCGGACGCCGGCAGAGCUUGUCAGCGGGGCGCCUCUCCCCCGACCCCGGCCCCGUGGGCAGGACUCUAAGAAAUUUUGGACCAAGAAUGAAGUUGAGGAGUGUUGUGGUAUCAAUAGAUCUUGUGAUUUGUUGGGGCUGCUAUUUCUCAGCUUGGCAUACAUAUUCACGAAAGUAUAUUCAGAAGAUGAGAAGUAACAAGAUGGAAACCUGCCUUCAGAGUUGUACUUUGCUUAACAAAAGAGGAAUGGGGAUCCCUGGGUGGCGCAGCGGUUUAGCGCCUGCCUUUGGCCCAGGGCGUGAUCCUGGAGACCCGGGAUCGAAUCCCACAUCGGGCUCCCGGUGCAUGGAGCCUGUUUCUCCCUCUGCCUGUGUCUCUGCCUCUCUCGCUCUCUCUGUGUGACUAUCAUAAAUAAAUAAAAACUUAAAAAAAAAACAAAAAAAAAACAAAAGAGGAAUGAAAUAUGUUACACCCACAUUUGUGUGGUCAUUGUGUUUUUUUUGUGUGU
RNAcentral lists this long non-coding RNA (1201 nucleotides) under Canis lupus familiaris (dog). RNAcentral describes it as "lncRNA (ENSCAFG00000055390.1)". Lineage: Eukaryota; Metazoa; Chordata; Mammalia; Carnivora; Canidae. The record is from RNAcentral.